UAUUGGCAGAGCAGUGUCAGAAUGAAAUCCAAUUAGAUACCGUGUGUUACCACCACCCCUCCAUUAUACCACGGCAAAAAGAUCUACUUCAAAAAGUUGGAUAUUAAAUUUCUUUUCUGGCCAAGACGCACGACCAGAAACAACAGCGGCGAUAAUGGGACGAAGGGUAAAUGUUUGCCAGCUUGUAGGGCAGCAAACAGGAAACCUCUCAUUAGGGAAGAACGAUGUAGAGAGUGGGAUGAAUUAACUUUUCCAUCACCACUGGCUUUUGUGUUUUGCUCGUGAACACUUUUCUGCUUAAGUAACUCUGCGGUCUCUCUGGCAGACGCAUAACCAAAUGAAAAGAGAGUGAACGAUUACAUCAUGAAUAAAUCAAACUAAUGUGCGAGUCAACGCAGUCAUUAAAGUUUUCUUUCUGAUAAUUAGAUGUUUAAUGCAGACAAGCAGGCAUUUACAUAACAUUUAACAUCUUGGGUUGUUGCCAAAAUGUGAUUUUAAUUUAACUAAUGGGGUUCAUGUGAUUGCACGGGGCGGGUGUGAAAAGUAAAGGAGUUUCUUGAACUUGCCCAGCAGGGGACGAUUCCUCUGAUUGCAAAGAGAAGAUUAUGAGGAAGUCUAUAAAAAGUUGACCCCAAUUUACUCUUGCUUUACUACCUCGGUAAACAUCGCAAACAUGGGUUCACGGUCUUAAUCGCUACUUGAGCUAGGAGGGUAUACUUUAGGACAUGGCAACCUUGUGAUUGACAGGUCGCUACCACUUCUUAAAACUCAAAACCUUUUGAAAAAUGGGCUUAUCGCUUGUUAAAGUGAGCUGUAAGACGAUAUUUCUUUAAAAAUGGCAUGUUUAGCGUCCGGUCGGGCUUAGCUUCAUCAUCAUCAUCAUCAUCAUCAAUGGACAACAACAUGGCGAAGGACAAAAACCAAGAUGGCAAUCUCAUGCCGAACUCAGGGCCAUCCACAAAAAGAAUGGGUGACGUCACCAUGGCUACCUCCAAAUCUUACGCUCAUUCUAUGGAUUACACUUAAAUACAAGUCACCUUUAGAAAGGGAAAAGUGAGGUAGGACGAAUAUCAUAUCAUGACUACACCCAAAAGCUUUGGAACCCCAAUGCUGUGCUCGACCUCAGUGAAAGCUCAAGACAGAUUACCCGCUGUGACACCUAUGACAUGAUGUCCUCCAGUCGAGACUAUCAUCCGCUACUCCAGCAUCUCCUCUUCACUCCACCCCCCCACGUCCCCCCAUCUACAACAACACCAGAGUCCAGAGAGUGAGAGGAGAGAAGGAUUGCGCUCGGCUCCACUCCAUUUUCGGCACGGAUGCACAGACGAUUCGACGAAGAUCCAGUGGAGUUCUUCUUGAGAAAAGCUUGGAGAGGCCUAACUGCACAUUUGCCUUCCACUUCCAUCCUCAUGAGGACCCGACACCGACGGCAGCCAAGUACCGAGCCACAAACGCCCCGGGAGAGAACCGAGCGCCGACGGCGACGGCCACCGAAAUCCUCCAAACUUCACGUGGGCCAAAUCUCUAAAAAAAAAAAAAAGGCAGAACGUACAGCACCAGAUACACGAGCACGCUCAUCCUUUUUGACUGCACCCAACCGGAGGAGUGAGCGGCUCAUUUUGGGCUGCGUCCUUUCAUGUGUGACAACAAUGAGGGUUAAAAUUCAGACCUACUUUCCUCGGUAAUCAGGUCAGGUCCGGACAGGUGCUCUCCGACUGAUAAAGGGUUGUGGGGAUGGGAGGGCUCCAUUUUUUUUUUUAUAUUGCAAGGGUUUUAUUCUAACCUUCGGGGAGUCAUUUUGUAUAACUGACCAAUAUUAGCACACAAAUGAGCAAGCCACCCGAUUCUCUCAGGCAGGGCUACAAAACACUGAACCAGAUAUUAAGCUUUGAUCUAGUAGGAUUUAUUUUAGGGAGAAGAGGAAACGAAACUCUAAUGUUAGUUGUGUUUCUCUGUAAAAGAUACUGAUUAUCUUUUCUAAAAGAGCAAGCAAACAAAUAACCACGCGUUUAAGGGCAGAAAAUCAUUAGUAAACAUUAAACUACUGUUAAUUAGAAUCGUAAACAAACACGCCCAUCAUUGUACCAUAUUUUGUUGAACCAUCUAUCCAUCUCGACCUCCUGCCCUUUUUUUUUGCUAGUUUCCCAAUCAAAGUAAAUGUAUCCCGUUCAGCUGUUCCCUCACAAGCGGUUAAUCCGCCCUGCAAAUACUCUAAAGCCCUUUCAAACACGCCAUCCUGGAGCAAAUAAAACCAUGACGUCCUUUAAUUGGCAGUGGCGCAAUCUGCGCUUGAGUGUGCAGUGCUCUAAAAAUCAAUACGGUGCUAUUGUAUUAUUCAGUGUUCAGUUCCUGGUACUCGCAUGGCCCGGUGGCCGCUUACUGUGAAAACUAAUGCAGCAUUCUACACACAAACACG
Molecule: long non-coding RNA, 2416 nt
Organism: Gasterosteus aculeatus aculeatus (three-spined stickleback)
Lineage: Eukaryota; Metazoa; Chordata; Actinopteri; Perciformes; Gasterosteidae
Source: Ensembl